GGCUUACCGGAGGAAGUUUUGGAGGAAUAUGAUGCGGACGGCUUUGACUUAUGAGGAAUGGGCUCAU
Molecule: small RNA, 67 nt
Filed under: Arabidopsis thaliana (thale cress)
Lineage: Eukaryota; Viridiplantae; Streptophyta; Magnoliopsida; Brassicales; Brassicaceae
Description: ATSL241770
Source: RNAcentral